GAGCGAGUCAGAAAAAGAACAUCGCCCGAUCCCUAGUCGGCAUAGUUUACGGUUAAGACUACGACGGUAUCUGAUCGUCUUCGAUCCCCUAACUUUCGUUCACUGAUUAAUGAAAACAUCCUUGGCAAAUGCUUUCGCAGUAGUUAGUCUUCAAUAAAUCCAAGAAUUUCACCUCUGACAAUUGAAUACUGAUGCCCCCGACUGUCCCUAUUAAUCAUUACGGCGGUCCUAGAAACCAACAAAAUAGGACCGCACGUCCUAUUCUAUUAUUCCAUGCUAACGUAUUCGAGCAAAGGCCUGCUUUGAACACUCUAAUUUUUUCAAAGUAAAAGUCCUGGUUCCCCAACACACCCAGUGAAGGGCAUGAGGUUCUCCAGAAGGAAAGGCCCGGCCGGACAAGUACACGCGGUGAGGCGGACCUGCCAGCCAGGCCCAAGUUUCAACUACGAGCUUUUUAACUGCAACAACUUUAAUAUACGCUAUUGGAGCUGGAAUUACCGCGGCUGCUGGCACCAGACUUGCCCUCCAAUUGUUCCUCGUUAAGAGGUUUAAAUUGUACUCAUUCCAAUUACAAGACCCAAAAGAGCCCUGUAUCAGUAUUUAUUGUCACUACCUCCCCGUGUCGGGAUUGGGUAAUUUGCGCGCCUGCUGCCUUCCUUGGAUGUGGUAGCCGUUUCUCAGGCUC
This 685-nucleotide ribosomal RNA is filed under the name fungal sp. CFK3. Its description in RNAcentral is "partial 18S rRNA". The record is from RNAcentral. Lineage: Eukaryota; Fungi. RNAcentral also lists the same sequence under 2 other names.